RNAcentral lists this ribosomal RNA (459 nucleotides) under uncultured bacterium. RNAcentral's name for it is "bacterial SSU rRNA". It matches the Rfam family "Bacterial small subunit ribosomal RNA", at positions 340 to 789 of the family's 1533-position model. The record is from RNAcentral.
UACGGAAGGCAGCAGUAGGGAAUCUUCCGCAAUGGACGAAAGUCUGACGGAGCAACGCCGCGUGAACGAUGAAGGCUUUCGGGUCGUAAAGUUCUGUUGUUAGGGAAGAACAAGUACCGGAGUAACUGCCGGUACCUUGACGGUACCUAACCAGAAAGCCACGGCUAACUACGUGCCAGCAGCCGCGGUAAUACGUAGGUGGCAAGCGUUGUCCGGAAUUAUUGGGCGUAAAGCGCGCGCAGGCGGUCCUUUUAAGUCUGAUGUGAAAGCCCACGGCUCAACCGUGGAGGGUCAUUGGAAACUGGGGACUUGAGUGCAGAAGAGGAGAGUGGAAUUCCACGUGUAGCGGUGAAAUGCGUAGAGAUGUGGAGGAACACCGAGUGGCGAAGGCGACUCUCUGGUCUGUAACUGACGCUGAGGCGCGAAAGCGUGGGGAGCGAACAGGGAUUAGAUACCCGU